CAUGUUUGACUAUUCGUCUUAUUCAAAAAAUUUACGUAAUUAUAAUUUAUUUUGUUAUGAGUUGUUUUAUCACUCAUAGUACUUUAAGCGUGAUUUAUAUCUUAUACAUUUGCAUAAAAUUUUUGAAUAAGACGAAUGGUCAAACAUG
This 148-nucleotide microRNA precursor is filed under the name Oryza sativa Japonica Group (Japanese rice). RNAcentral's name for it is "MIR812 microRNA precursor family". It matches the Rfam family "MIR812 microRNA precursor family", at positions 29 to 177 of the family's 205-position model. The record is from Rfam by way of RNAcentral. Lineage: Eukaryota; Viridiplantae; Streptophyta; Magnoliopsida; Poales; Poaceae.